This 496-nucleotide long non-coding RNA is filed under the name Mytilus galloprovincialis (Mediterranean mussel). The record is from RNAcentral. Lineage: Eukaryota; Metazoa; Mollusca; Bivalvia; Mytilida; Mytilidae.
UAAUUUCAGCCUAUAAGGCCAAUUAAAAUUAAUUGAUAGAUUUUCAUCCCCGCCCGCCCCUCUGAAAUCUUCCCGCCCCGAUUUUUUUUAUUUUUGAAAAAAUUACGAUUUCCGGAUUUUGUUCAUUUCCGUUACCGGUAACCGUCGAUAUUUCGUUUCGUGUAAAACUUCCUGUUUAAAAUUUCGGUUUUCGUAUUACUUAGAGUAUUCUAAUUGGAUGAUUAAGUCGAUAUAUUCUGCUGAUCUAUGAUCACAACAUCAUUUACCGAGAAUAAAUUAAAAGAUUGAUUAUGAGAAGGGCGUGAAAUAUUCGCUGUGUCCAAGAACGCAAAUCGCCGUACACUCAUGAUGUCACAAAUGACAAAUGUUUGCGAGUAAAACACCUUGGAUUUAUUUUAUUUAUACAAUGACUUUCAAGAAAUUUGGACUGUGAAGGAAACCCAAAAGCGUCAGAAUCGUGGAACAGAUUUGACUGGAAUAAAGAAAUUGACACAAG